Molecule: ribosomal RNA, 463 nt
Filed under: uncultured bacterium
Lineage: Bacteria
Description: bacterial SSU rRNA
Rfam family: Bacterial small subunit ribosomal RNA
Source: RNAcentral
GGGCCCGCACAAGCAGUGGAGUAUGUGGUUUAAUUCGAAGCAACGCGAAGAACCUUACCAGGGCUUGACAUACCAUUGACGUAUCUAGAGAUAGAUAUUUCCUUCGGGACAAUGGAUACAGGUGGUGCAUGGUUGUCGUCAGCUCGUGUCGUGAGAUGUUGGGUUAAGUCCCGCAACGAGCGCAACCCCUGUUGUUAGUUGCCAUCAUUAAGUUGGGCACUCUAGCGAGACUGCCGGUGAUAAAUCGGAGGAAGGUGGGGACGACGUCAAAUCAUCAUGCCCCUUAUGUCCUGGGCUACACACGUACUACAAUGGCUAUUACAGCAGGAAGCGAAACCGUAAGGUGGAGCAAAACCUCAAAAAUAGCCCCAGUUCAGAUUGUGGGCUGAAACUCGCCCACAUGAAGUCGGAAUUGCUAGUAAUGGCAGGUCAGCAUACUGCCGUGAAUACGUUCCCGGGCCUU